Molecule: ribosomal RNA, 497 nt
Filed under: uncultured bacterium
Lineage: Bacteria
Description: partial 16S ribosomal RNA
Rfam family: Bacterial small subunit ribosomal RNA
Source: RNAcentral
GAUGAACGCUGGCGGCGUGCCUAAUACAUGCAAGUCGAGCGAACAGACGAGGAGCUUGCUCCUCUGACGUUAGCGGCGGACGGGUGAGUAACACGUGGAUAACCUACCUAUAAGACUGGGAUAACUUCGGGAAACCGGAGCUAAUACCGGAUAACAUGUUGAACCGCAUGGUUCAACAGUGAAAGACGGUCUUGCUGUCACUUAUAGAUGGAUCCGCGCCGCAUUAGCUAGUUGGUAAGGUAACGGCUUACCAAGGCAACGAUGCGUAGCCGACCUGAGAGGGUGAUCGGCCACACUGGAACUGAGACACGGUCCAGACUCCUACGGGAGGCAGCAGUAGGGAAUCUUCCGCAAGGGGCGAAAGCCUGACGGAGCAACGCCGCGUGAGUGAAGAAGGUCUUCGGAUCGUAAAACUCUGUUAUUAGGGAAGAACAAAUGUGUAAGUAACUAUGCACGUCUUGACGGUACCUAAUCAGAAAGCCACGGCUAACUACGUG